AACCAUGAGGGUUGGGAACGAGGAUUAGAUUUCGAAGUUUGUGGAUUGAGUUAGGGUUAGAAGGAUGAAGAAAAAAAAGGUUUGGAUUUAGAAUUUGUGGAAAGACGAUAAAUUUUUGGAUGAGAAAUCGGUCCAGAUAGGUUUGAUUUGAUGAUUUUUAAAUGAAGGUUGAAGAUGAGAUUCAUAAGGAAAUGGAGUUAUGAGUUUGAUAUUCUGGAUUUGUUGUUUGUUGGUUGAAAGAAGUUAUUAAGAAGGAUGAAUUUGUUUGUAAUUUUGGUUGAAGGUCUUCGAAUGUCCUGGGUUUGGGAUGAAGAUUCAGAAAGAUGUUCUUAGCAUAUGAAUUUCUAGGUUUGUUUUUGUGGUUUCUUGAAGAGGUGAAGUUUUGGGUUUGAUUUUUUGAAUUUGUUGGUUGUGGAUGGAAGGAAUUUGUUAGGAAAGAUGAAUGUGUUUGAAAUUUUAGUUGAAAUUUUUGAUUUAGUUGAGGUUGUGGAUAAAGGUUCAGAAAGAUCUGUUUGAAGAUAUGAGUGUCUGGGUUCGUUUGAAUUUUUUGAGCUAUUCUUGAAUUUUGGUGGUUGUUCUUGAGGUUUAUGAGAACUAAGAUGAAUAUGGAUGAAUUUUUGAAAAUGAUAUAUGAAUGUAGGGUGAGAGGAUUUGAAGGUAAAAAUAGAGAAAAAAAAGGGAAGAGAGAGAAAUGAAAUAUGAAAUAAUGAGAUAGGAUAAGAAUGAAUAUGAGUUUAGAUGU
This 742-nucleotide long non-coding RNA is filed under the name Lathyrus oleraceus (garden pea). RNAcentral describes it as "Pisum sativum (pea) long non-coding RNA (PSAT_LNC030332)". The record is from RNAcentral. Lineage: Eukaryota; Viridiplantae; Streptophyta; Magnoliopsida; Fabales; Fabaceae.